AGGAGCCUACGGGACGCAGCAGUAGGGAAUCUUCCACAAUGGACGAAAGUCUGAUGGAGCAACGCCGCGUGAGUGAAGAAGGGUUUCGGCUCGUAAAACUCUGUUGGUUGUGAAGAAAGAUAGAGGUAGUAACUGGCCUUUAUUUGACGGGAAUUACUUAGAAAGUCACGGCUAACUACGUGCCAGCAGCCGCGGUAAUACGUAGGUGGCAAGCUUUAUCCGGAUUUAUUUGGCGUAAAGCGAG
This 244-nucleotide ribosomal RNA is filed under the name uncultured bacterium. Its description in RNAcentral is "partial 16S ribosomal RNA". It matches the Rfam family "Bacterial small subunit ribosomal RNA", at positions 333 to 569 of the family's 1533-position model. The record is from RNAcentral.